RNAcentral lists this ribosomal RNA (109 nucleotides) under Sinocyclocheilus rhinocerous. The record is from RNAcentral. Lineage: Eukaryota; Metazoa; Chordata; Actinopteri; Cypriniformes; Cyprinidae.
UGCAGCCAUAUCACCCUGCAGCCCAAGACUGGUUGCCCACUGAAGCUAAGCAGGGUUGAGCCUGGUCAGUACCUGGAUAGGAGACCUCCUGGGAAGAGUAGGGGUGUAA